CCUGCCGGAAAGUGGGGGACAACCACUCGAAAGAGUGGCUAAUACCGCAUGUGGUCCCGGGGACUUCGGUUCCUGUGGCUAAAGCAGCAAUGCGCUUUCCGAUGGGCCCGAUCCCCAUUAGCUAGUUGGUAGGGUAAUGGCCUACCAAGGCUACGAUGGGUAGCUGGCCUGAGAGGGUGGUCAGCAACACGAGGACUGAGAUACGGCCUCGACUCCUACGGGGGGCAGCAGUCUAGAGGCUUCGGCAAUGGACGAAAGUCUGACCGAGCGACGCCGCGUGGAGGAUGAAGGUCUUCGGAUUGUAAACUCCUUUCGGCCGGAAAGAAAGCUUGGAUGGCGAAUCCAGGUGUGACUGACCGGCGGAAGAAGCCCCGGCUAACUUCGUGCCAGCAGCUGCGGUAAUACGAAGGGGGCAAGCGUUAUUCGGAUUUAUUGGGCGUAAAGGGCGUGUAGGCGGCUCGGCAAGUCUGGUGUGAAAACGCUACCGCUUAACGGAGCGAAUGCGCUGGAUACUGCCGAACUUGAGUUCGAGAGAGGUGGGCGGAAUACCUGGUGUAGCGGUGGAAUGCGUAGAGAUCAGGUGGAACACCCGAGGCGAAGGCGGCCCACUGGCUCGACACCGACGCUGAGGCGCGAAAGCGUGGGGAUCAAACGGGAUUAGAUACCCCGGUAGUCCACGCUGUAAACGGUGAGUGCUAGUCGUUGGGGGUACCCAUUCCCUCAGUGACGUCGUUAACACAAUAAGCACUCCGCCUGGGAAGUACGGCCGCAAGGUUGAAACUCAAAGGAAUUGACGGGGGCCCGCACAAGCGGUGGAGCAUGUGAUUUAAUUCGACGCAACGCGAAGAACCUUACCUGGGCUCGAACGGUAGCUUAUAUCAGCCGAAAGGCUGUGUCCUUCGGGAGUGCUAUCGAGGUGCUGCAUGGCUGUCGUCAGCUCGUGUC
RNAcentral lists this ribosomal RNA (945 nucleotides) under uncultured bacterium. RNAcentral's name for it is "bacterial SSU rRNA". It matches the Rfam family "Bacterial small subunit ribosomal RNA", at positions 125 to 1066 of the family's 1533-position model. The record is from RNAcentral.